This 439-nucleotide ribosomal RNA is filed under the name uncultured bacterium. RNAcentral's name for it is "partial 16S ribosomal RNA". It matches the Rfam family "Bacterial small subunit ribosomal RNA", at positions 338 to 795 of the family's 1533-position model. The record is from RNAcentral.
CCUACGGGAGGCAGCAGUGGGGGAUAUUGCACAAUGGGGGAAACCCUGAUGCAGCAACGCCGCGUGUGGGAAGAAGGUUUUCGGAUUGUAAGCCACUGUUCUUGGUGAAGAUAAUGACGGUAACCAAGGAGAAAGCUCGGCUAACUACGUGCCAGCAGCCGCGGGAAUACGUAGGGAGCAAGCGUUGUCCGGAUUUACUGGGUGUAAAGGGUGCGGAGGCGGUCUUGGAAGUCAGAAGUGAAAACCACAGGCUCAACCUGUGUAAUGCGUUUGAAACUGUGGGGCUUGAGUGAAGUAGAGGUAUGCGGAAUGCGCAGUGUAGCGGUGAAAUGCUUAGAUAUUGCGCAGAACUCCGAUUGCGAAGGCAGCAUACCGGCGGCGAUCUGACGCUGAGGCACGAAAGCGUGGGUAUCGAACAGGAUUAGAUACCCUUGUAGUC